GACGAACGCUGGCGGCGUGCUUAACACAUGCAAGUCGAACGGAAAGGCCCUGCUUUUGUGGGGUGCUCGAGUGGCGAACGGGUGAGUAACACGUGAGUAACCUGCCCUUGACUUUGGGAUAACUUCAGGAAACUGGGGCUAAUACCGGAUAGGAGCUCCUGCUGCAUGGUGGGGGUUGGAAAGUUUCGGCGGUUGGGGAUGGACUCGCGGCUUAUCAGCUUGUUGGUGGGGUAGUGGCUUACCAAGGCUUUGACGGGUAGCCGGCCUGAGAGGGUGACCGGCCACAUUGGGACUGAGAUACGGCCCAGACUCCUACGGGAGGCAGCAGUGGGGAAUAUUGCACAAUGGGCGGAAGCCUGAUGCAGCAACGCCGCGUGCGGGAUGACGGCCUUCGGGUUGUAAACCGCUUUCGCCUGUGACGAAGCGUGAGUGACGGUAAUGGGUAAAGAAGCACCGGCUAACUACGUGCCAGCAGCCGCGGUGAUACGUAGGGUGCGAGCGUUGUCCGGAUUUAUUGGGCGUAAAGGGCUCGUAGGUGGUUGAUCGCGUCGGAAGUGUAAUCUUGGGGCUUAACCCUGAGCGUGCUUUCGAUACGGGUUGACUUGAGGAAGGCAGGGGAGAAUGGAAUUCCUGGUGGAGCGGUGGAAUGCGCAGAUAUCAGGAGGAACACCAGUGGCGAAGGCGGUUCUCUGGGCCUUUCCUGACGCUGAGGAGCGAAAGCGUGGGGAGCGAACAGGCUUAGAUACCCUGGUAGUCCACGCUGUAAACGGUGGGUACUAGGCGUGGGGUCCAUUCCACGGGUUCCGUGCCGUAGCUAACGCUUUAAGUACCCCGCCUGGGGAGUACGGCCGCAAGGCUAAAACUCAAAGGAAUUGACGGGGCCCCGCACAAGCGGCGGAGCAUGCGGAUUAAUUCGAUGCAACGCGUAGAACCUUACCUGGGUUUGACAUGGAUCGGGAGUGCUCAGAGAUGGGUGUGCCUCUUUUGGGGUCGGUUCACAGGUGGUGCAUGGCUGUCGUCAGCUCGUGUCGUGAGAUGUUGGGUUAAGUCCCGCAACGAGCGCAACCCUUGUUCACUGUUGCCAGCACGUUAUGGUGGGGACUCAGUGGAGACCGCCGGGGUCAACUCGGAGGAAGGUGGGGAUGACGUCAAGUCAUCAUGCCCCUUAUGUCCAGGGCUUCACGCAUGCUACAAUGGCUGGUACAGAGAGUGGCGAGCCUGUGAGGGUGAGCGAAUCUCGGAAAGCCGGUCUCAGUUCGGAUUGGGGUCUGCAACUCGACCUCAUGAAGUCGGAGUCGCUAGUAAUCGCAGAUCAGCAACGCUGCGGUGAAUACGUUCCCGGGGCU
RNAcentral lists this ribosomal RNA (1346 nucleotides) under uncultured bacterium. RNAcentral describes it as "partial 16S ribosomal RNA". It matches the Rfam family "Bacterial small subunit ribosomal RNA", at positions 28 to 1381 of the family's 1533-position model. The record is from RNAcentral.